GUUUGAUCCUGGCUCAGAGCGAACGUUAGCGGCGCGCCUAACACAUGCAAGUCGCACGAGAAAGGGGCAACCCCGGUACAGUGGCGCACGGGUGAGUAACACGUGGAUUACCUGCCCUGGAGUGGUGGAUAACCUGCCGAAAGGUGGGCUAAUACAGCAUGAGACCACGCGGUUUCGAUCGUGAGGUCAAAGCGGGCUUCUGUUCACAAGCUCGCGCUCUAGGAUGGGGUCCGCGGCCCAUCAGCUAGUUGGUAGGGUAACGGCCUACCAAGGCAACGACGGGUAGCUGGUCUGAGAGGAUGGCCAGCCACACUGGAACUGAGACACGGUCCAGACUCCUACGGGAGGCAGCAGUGGGGAAUCUUGCGCAAUGGACGAAAAGUCUGACGCAGCGACGCCGCGUGGUGACGAAGGCCUGGUGUAA
Molecule: ribosomal RNA, 424 nt
Filed under: uncultured bacterium
Lineage: Bacteria
Description: bacterial SSU rRNA
Rfam family: Bacterial small subunit ribosomal RNA
Source: RNAcentral